Molecule: long non-coding RNA, 1460 nt
Organism: Brassica napus (rape)
Lineage: Eukaryota; Viridiplantae; Streptophyta; Magnoliopsida; Brassicales; Brassicaceae
Exons: 2
Source: RefSeq, a predicted model, not a curated record
CCUUGUUUUGUGGAUAGUUUUGGCAGAUGCUUGAGAUUUUUCUGAUUUGAUGUUUUGCUUAGGAACGGGGAAGAGGGUUGAUUGCAAGCAAAGGCAAAUUACAAACACGCGGCAAUGCAUUAUUUUUGUAGGCUCCUAUUGCACCAAUUAGAAAAGGAUAAGAAAAUCAUUUAUUGGUUUAUUUGUAUGGCAAAUUACAAACAUGCGGCAUCUUUUUCUUAUUGGUUGAAUUAGUUUUAUUUAAUGUUAUUUUAUGUUAUCAAAACUAAUUUCAUAAAAGUUUGUAUUUUCUUAAUAUUUGUGCAAAAACCUUAAACACCUCUUAAAAUGAUACAGAGAGAGUAUUUAACAAAUUCUUAAUAGGGUAAGUUUAUGAAUAUUUAUUUGUAGAAUUUUGUCUGGACAGAUAAUUAGAAGCUUAUGUGACAUCAACGUUUUCUUGUUUUGCUUCACGUGUUUAUCCACUAAUUGUCCAAUUUUCCUUAAGUUUGCGUUUAAAUUUAUCUUUUUCAAAGGCCUUCUUUCUGAAGAGUGAAGACCCAUUAUCUAUCCCAUACAUACGAUGGUCGAUGGAUAAAGAAGCCAUUUCGCACGUUACGUUCUCUUCUAUUUCAGACCCAAUUUAAUCCAAACCCGUACCAAUGAGCUAUCACAAUCAAACCGAACCGGUUUAAACACCAACCGCUUCUGUUUAGCUCUGCGAUCGCCCCGUGAGUCUUGUUUGUGUGUUAUUAGACCAGAAAUACGUCGAUGAGCUUGGCCGAAAAGCGACAACAUUCAGCCGUUCGAUCCAAGAUCUACGGAUCAGAUUGCUUCCACCGGAUAUCGCCCCGCGUCUGCCUCACCUUCAUGCCCACUGCCUCACUCUUUCAGCUUGAUUCGCACUCCGCUACUCGUGAACAGGUGAGCUUGAUCGAUAUGAGUUAUUGAAUAUCUCUCAUUGAGUGAUCGAUCUUCUUUCUGAAACGAGGCUCAAAUGAGAGAGCAGACGCUGGUAGAAGAGAAUAGUGCAUAUGAGAAUGCGAUGUCAAUCUUGUGAGAUAAAGAUAGAAGAGAAGAGACAUGAGGCAGAGAUUCUCUUCUUACAAAGUUGAAGGAGCUAGAAGACGAUGAUGAAAACUUGAAACCUGAGCAAGAAGCUUCUCUGUCUGUUCAUGUUCUCACACGUGAUACUUCAGUCUGACAUGUUGUCAAUGUUACUAGUUUAUCACCAGUCAGAACUGUCAAGUCUCCAACAUAUAGAAAGCCCAAAAAGCUAUGUUAGAUAGCUUAUUUUCAGUAGGAACCCAAUACUCCGUAUAAAAUUUGUAGGGGAUAUAUAUGAUCAUUGUUCGCAAAUGGUUUUUCGUGUUUGCAUAUGAAUAGUGAAUACAUAACAAACACAAAUACUGAGACUCCUACAAAAAUCUUUCUUUGCAAUUUCUUUUGUUGAUUUAAGAUAUAAGUCUCAUCUACCUAUU